AUGUUGGCCAUCUUAAGAAACACGGCUCCGUCUGUCUUCCCCCUGUCUUCCUGCUGCACCAUGACAAGCAGUGCUUCCCAGGAUAAACACCUUGUGUGUCUUGUGACCAGCUAUUCACCGUCCCUGGUGAGAAUUCGGUGGAAUUCUGGCGGUGACACCAAGUGGGGCCAAGAUUUCCCAGAGACGCUGGCCAGCAACGGGUUUUACACCAGGACCAGCUUGCUCACCAUCCCUGCCGGUGACUGGAUUGGCAAAACCUACCAGUGUGACGUGACACACGAUAUGACAAGCCGAACAGUGUCCGCGGAGUUCCCGAAGGAAUCCUGUGGUCCUAUGAUUGCGCCUGAGGUUCGCCUCCUGUUCCCCUCCUGUGAGGAUGACCUCACAGGGAGCUAUCUGGAGCUGGUUUGCCUUCUCCUCAGCUUCCAACCCAACAAAGCCGAGGUGAAAUGGCUCAUGAAUGGAACGGAGACAAGUCACCCCACCCUGGUCUUCUCCUCUGCAAUGGGUGCAGAUGGCUCCUACAUGAGCCAGAGCCGUCUGAACAUCAGCAAGCAGAGCUGGGAGAACGGGGACCUCUUUACCUGCCAUGUGACUCAUCCAGCCUGGGGAACGAAGCCUUCCAUGUACAACACCAGCAAGUGCUUGGCCUGCCCCAAAAGCAAACUCAGACCAACCAUCUACUUGGCCAAACCCUCCUAUGAAGACGUGAUCAAGAAAUCCGGUCAUCUGACCUGUCUAGUUUUGGGUUACGACUUAGCAGCCACCACCAUCACCUGGCAAGUGGAGGGGAAAGUCAGCUCUGCAGGGAAGACAGAACCCCCCGAGAAGAACAACAAUGGGACCACCAGCCUGGUCAGCUCCCACCCAGUGUCGCAGGCACAGUGGGGACAAGGGACCAGAUUUACCUGCAAAGUGAGCACGCUCUGUUCUGGAGAACUCGCCCAGGAGAUAACCAUGGUCAAUAAAGACAUGGCUAAGAAAGAGCCUUCCAUCACCAUCUCAAAAGCCUACCACGAAAAUCUCUCGGGGACCAAAGAGUCCUUGACUCUCAUCUGUGAAGCUAGUGGCUUUUAUCCCGAAGACAUCAGCAUCUCCUGGUUGAAGGAUAACUCCCCAGAACUCACGGCCAGUUACAACAAUGUCCCUGUGGCAGGAAGUAGCACCUUCUCGGCCUACAGCAUCCUGAAGGUCAAUCGAAACGAAGGAACAGAAAACUGUACCUGCAUAGUGCAUCACCCAGCCUUGGAGGAGCCCAAGAGAGUGGAGGAAAAGGUGUCCUUUAGUGGCAGCGACUGUCAUCGACCCCUUCCAAAGGUCUUCCUCCUUCCCCCAUCCCUGGAGGAACUUUAUGUUGGGCAGAACGCCACCAUCACUUGUGUGGUGAGUGGCAUGGAGAGCCCCAGCAGCCUGGAGAUCUCCUGGAGCAAGGGAAAUGGAGGCCUGUUGACGGAGGACCACAGGGAGCCAGUGCUGCAUCCAAAUGGCACCUACAGUGCAGCCAGCGUUCUGCGGGUGUGCGUGGAGGAGUGGCAGGCUGGGGAGGAGUUUACCUGCACUGUGAAGCACCAAGACAUCCCAUCAGCAGAGGUCAAGACUAUCCACAAAAGUCUCGAGGUCUCUCUCCGGGCCCCUUCUGUUUACGUCUCCCCUCCUCAUGCGGAGGAGCUGGCGCUCCAGGAAUGGGCCACCAUCACCUGUCUGGCCUCCGGCUUCCGGCCCAAAGACAUCUUGGUGACAUGGACCCGGAAGGACCGGCCCCUUCCGCAAGAAGCCUACACCAACAUUAGCCCCAUGCGGGAGGCUGGGGAGGAGGAGAGCUACUUCAUCUAUAGCAAGCUCAGAAUCCAGGCCUCUGAAUGGCAGAAGGGGGACACCUACUCCUGCAUGGUGGCGCAUGAAGGCCUGCCCAAGAUUUUCACCCAACGGAGCGUGGACAAGGCCUCCGGGAAACCCACCGCCGUCAAUGUCUCUGUGGUCUUGUCCGACACCGAUGUCACUUGCCACUGA
Pelodiscus sinensis (Chinese soft-shelled turtle) is the source of this 2010-nucleotide non-coding RNA. Lineage: Eukaryota; Metazoa; Chordata; Testudines; Trionychidae. The record is from the annotation of a RefSeq genome assembly.